This 1415-nucleotide ribosomal RNA is filed under the name Lactiplantibacillus plantarum. Its description in RNAcentral is "bacterial SSU rRNA". It matches the Rfam family "Bacterial small subunit ribosomal RNA". The record is from RNAcentral. Lineage: Bacteria; Bacillati; Bacillota; Bacilli; Lactobacillales; Lactobacillaceae.
UCGACGAACUCUGGUAUUGAUUGGUGCUUGCAUCAUGAUUUACAUUUGAGUGAGUGGCGAACUGGUGAGUAACACGUGGGAAACCUGCCCAGAAGCGGGGGAUAACACCUGGAAACAGAUGCUAAUACCGCAUAACAACUUGGACCGCAUGGUCCGAGUUUGAAAGAUGGCUUCGGCUAUCACUUUUGGAUGGUCCCGCGGCGUAUUAGCUAGAUGGUGGGGUAACGGCUCACCAUGGCAAUGAUACGUAGCCGACCUGAGAGGGUAAUCGGCCACAUUGGGACUGAGACACGGCCCAAACUCCUACGGGAGGCAGCAGUAGGGAAUCUUCCACAAUGGACGAAAGUCUGAUGGAGCAACGCCGCGUGAGUGAAGAAGGGUUUCGGCUCGUAAAACUCUGUUGUUAAAGAAGAACAUAUCUGAGAGUAACUGUUCAGGUAUUGACGGUAUUUAACCAGAAAGCCACGGCUAACUACGUGCCAGCAGCCGCGGUAAUACGUAGGUGGCAAGCGUUGUCCGGAUUUAUUGGGCGUAAAGCGAGCGCAGGCGGUUUUUUAAGUCUGAUGUGAAAGCCUUCGGCUCAACCGAAGAAGUGCAUCGGAAACUGGGAAACUUGAGUGCAGAAGAGGACAGUGGAACUCCAUGUGUAGCGGUGAAAUGCGUAGAUAUAUGGAAGAACACCAGUGGCGAAGGCGGCUGUCUGGUCUGUAACUGACGCUGAGGCUCGAAAGUAUGGGUAGCAAACAGGAUUAGAUACCCUGGUAGUCCAUACCGUAAACGAUGAAUGCUAAGUGUUGGAGGGUUUCCGCCCUUCAGUGCUGCAGCUAACGCAUUAAGCAUUCCGCCUGGGGAGUACGGCCGCAAGGCUGAAACUCAAAGGAAUUGACGGGGGCCCGCACAAGCGGUGGAGCAUGUGGUUUAAUUCGAAGCUACGCGAAGAACCUUACCAGGUCUUGACAUACUAUGCAAAUCUAAGAGAUUAGACGUUCCCUUCGGGGACAUGGAUACAGGUGGUGCAUGGUUGUCGUCAGCUCGUGUCGUGAGAUGUUGGGUUAAGUCCCGCAACGAGCGCAACCCUUAUUAUCAGUUGCCAGCAUUAAGUUGGGCACUCUGGUGAGACUGCCGGUGACAAACCGGAGGAAGGUGGGGAUGACGUCAAAUCAUCAUGCCCCUUAUGACCUGGGCUACACACGUGCUACAAUGGAUGGUACAACGAGUUGCGAACUCGCGAGAGUAAGCUAAUCUCUUAAAGCCAUUCUCAGUUCGGAUUGUAGGCUGCAACUCGCCUACAUGAAGUCGGAAUCGCUAGUAAUCGCGGAUCAGCAUGCCGCGGUGAAUACGUUCCCGGGCCUUGUACACACCGCCCGUCACACCAUGAGAGUUUGUAACACCCAAAGUCGGUGGGGUAACCUUUA